AGUUUGAGGUUACGUUAAGCAAAGUGUGGCGAACCAUAGAGAAAGUAAAAUAUUUUUUAUUUUUUAAAAUUAUUUUACUUACUCUAUGGUGGCGAACUCUAUCCGCCACUUCUCAACUGGCAGCAGAGACCACAAAAUAUCCCCCUUUCAGAGAAAUAGUAUACUAUUUACUCUGAGUAUGAAAUGAUGAUCAUUAUGGGGUUUCAGUGUUAUGCCUAAUAAGCCUUGUUCUAUGGUGUUAUGUGAGUGAAUUAGAAGCUAACUUGUGUGCCAAUAAAACCAGCCUCCUGUAAAGAAGUGUUUUCACUCAGUGACAGUGCUCAAUAAAUAUGGUAAUGUUUCUUCGGUCUGUUUUAAAAUUAAGCCGUACAUGGGAAGUGAGUGGAGACCUUUGCCGCCGACAUUGUACAUUUGCUUCUGUUCACUUUCGAAAUGUAUUUAGUGACUGUCGACUCUCUGUAUUCACAUUUACCUAUAGAGAAUAAACGCGGCUUCGCUUUUUGGAAA
Long non-coding RNA from Dendroctonus ponderosae (mountain pine beetle), 507 nucleotides. RefSeq lists it as uncharacterized. The transcript is spliced from 2 exons. Lineage: Eukaryota; Metazoa; Arthropoda; Insecta; Coleoptera; Curculionidae. The record is from RefSeq and is a predicted model, not a curated record.